Molecule: long non-coding RNA, 546 nt
Organism: Daphnia pulex (common water flea)
Lineage: Eukaryota; Metazoa; Arthropoda; Branchiopoda; Diplostraca; Daphniidae
Exons: 4
Source: RefSeq, a predicted model, not a curated record
AGUUGUAAGUUGUAACAUAGGUAAAUCACAUUUCAUCUGAUGAGUCAACAAUCAACGUUAAGCUAGCUUCGAAAAUUACCAAUGAUUCAUAGGUAAACUCGAGUGAUUUCGUCUGUAAUAACUUGUCGGUGAUGUGUUCUAUUCCGUGUAUAUGUUGGAUAACCUUAAUGUUUUUCAUCAACUCACAGUCAGAGUAAACGUGAAAGUCAUGCAAUCUAUCGUCAACUAUUUUGUUCAAACUCAUUGUACUCUACUGAAUGUGUCAUCAAAAUUAUACAGAUCACCGACCCCAGCAUGGAACAGUCUCUCAUUCCAUCUUAUAGAGAAUCUUGGAUAACUGAUUUGUGGUUUCAUGUGUUUCUAAAUUGGCAUGACUGACUAUAUGAGAAGUUAUGUACCAAGAAAAGGUAGAAAACAAGAUUCCUUGUUUGCUAACCGUUGGCUGCUACCCAUGAAUCUCCCUAUUUUUCAACAACAAAAAAAGAGGUUAAAUAUUGUGAUCAUGCUAUCAUCAUUAUGUUGCCUAUAAGACCAUUCAUGUGGGGC